Molecule: ribosomal RNA, 655 nt
Filed under: uncultured bacterium
Lineage: Bacteria
Description: bacterial SSU rRNA
Rfam family: Bacterial small subunit ribosomal RNA
Source: RNAcentral
AACGAACGCUGGCGGCAUGGUUAAGACAUGCAAGUCGUACGGACCACUUUUUGCUUGCAUCGAGUGGUUAGUGGCGAAAGGGAGAGUAAUGCAUGGGUAACGUACCUCGGUUUCUGGGAUAACCACGGCCUUCGGGUCUUUAGCGAAAGUGUGGCUAAUACCGGAUGAUACCGCGAGAUCAUAUGGUCUUGCGAUCAAAGGUGGGGACCCCUUCGGGGGCCUGCUGAACUGGGAGCGGCCCAUGUCCUAUCAGCUUGUUGGUGGGGUAACGGCCUACCAAGGCAUCGACGGGUAGCGGGCGUGAGAGCGUGACCCGCCUCAUCGGAACUGAGACACUGUCCGGACACCUACGGGUGGCUGCAGUAACGAGUAUUGGGCAAUGGGCGAAAGCCUGACCCAGCAAUGCCGCGUGCAGGACGAAGCCCUUCGGGGUGUAAACUGCUGUCAGAAUCCAGCAAGCAAAGCGGGUAAAUAGCCCGUGGCGUUGAGCAGAUUCAAAGGAAGCCUCGGCUAACUCUGUGCCAGCAGCCGCGGUAAGACAGAGGAGGCAAGCGUUGUUCGGAAUCAUUGGGCUUAAAGAGGGUGUAGGCGGCUCGGCAAGUGUUGUGUGAAAGCCCACGGCUCAACCGUGGAACUGCACAGCAAACUGCCUGGC